GGAAUCUUGCGCAAUGGGCGAAAGCCUGACGCAGCAACGCCGCGUGCGGGAAGAAGGCUUUAGGGUUGUAAACCGCUUUCAGCAGGGAAGAAAAUGACGGUACCUGCAGAAGAAGGUGCGGCCAACUACGUGCCAGCAGCCGCGGUGACACGUAGGCACCAAGCGUUGUCCGGAUUUAUUGGGCGUAAAGAGCUCGUAGGCGGUUCAGUAAGUCGGGUGUGAAAACUCUGGGCUUAACCCAGAGCCGCCACCCGAUACUGCUGUGACUUGAGUCCGGUAGGGGAGCGGGGAAUUCCUGGUGUAGCGGUGAAAUGCGCAGAUAUCAGGAGGAACACCGGUGGCGAAGGCGCCGCUCUGGGCCGAGAUUGACGCUGAGGAGCGAAAGCAUGGGUAGCAAACAGGAUUAGAUACCCUGGUAGUCCAUGCCGUAAACGUUGGGCACUAGGUGUGGGCAUCAACCAACGAUGUCCGCGCCGUCGCUAACGCAUUAAGUGCCCCGCCUGGGGAGUACGGCCGCAAGACUAAAACUCAAAUGAAUUGACGG
This 544-nucleotide ribosomal RNA is filed under the name uncultured bacterium. RNAcentral's name for it is "bacterial SSU rRNA". It matches the Rfam family "Bacterial small subunit ribosomal RNA", at positions 358 to 916 of the family's 1533-position model. The record is from RNAcentral.